UGGGGAAUAUUGCACAAUGGGCGAAAGCCUGAUGCAGCAACGCCGCGUGAGUGAUGAAGGCCUUCGGGUUGUAAAGCUCUGUCUUCUGGGACGAUAAUGACGGUACCAGAGGAGGAAGCCACGGCUAACUACGUGCCAGCAGCCGCGGUAAUACGUAGGUGGCAAGCGUUGUCCGGAUUUACUGGGCGUAAAGGAUGCGUAGGCGGAUACUUAAGUCAGAUGUGAAAAUCCCGGGCUUAACUUGGGAACUGCAUUUGUGACUGCAAGGCUGGAGUACGGCAGAGGGGGGUGGAAUUCCACGUGUAGCAGUGAAAUGCGUAGAGAUGUGGAGGAACACCGAUGGCGAAGGCAGCCCCCUGGGCCUGUACUGACGCUCAUGCACGAAAGCGUGGGGAGCAAACA
This 402-nucleotide ribosomal RNA is filed under the name uncultured bacterium. Its description in RNAcentral is "bacterial SSU rRNA". It matches the Rfam family "Bacterial small subunit ribosomal RNA", at positions 355 to 774 of the family's 1533-position model. The record is from RNAcentral.